Molecule: ribosomal RNA, 250 nt
Filed under: uncultured bacterium
Lineage: Bacteria
Description: partial 16S ribosomal RNA
Rfam family: Bacterial small subunit ribosomal RNA
Source: RNAcentral
UACGUAGGUGGCAAGCGUUGUUCGGAUUUAUUGGGUUUAAAGGGUGCGUAGGCGGUGUUCUAAGUCAGUUGUGAAAUACUUCAGCUUAACUGGAGAGGUGCAAUUGAUAUUGGGAUACUUGAGUACUGAUGAGGUAUGUGGAAUGGAUGGUGUAGUGGUGAAAUGCUUAGAUAUCGUCCAGAACACCGAUAGCGAAGGCAGCAUACUAAGGAGUAACUGACGCUGAGGCACGAAAGUGUGGGGAUCAAAC